CGCCGUAUGCAGGGGGACAACAGUCAGAAAUGACUGCUAAUACCGCAUAAGCACACAAUGCUGCAUGGCAUGGUGUGAAAAGAUUUAUCGGCAUACGAUGGCCCCGCGUCUGAUUAGCCAGUUGGCAGGGUAAUGGCCUACCAAAGCAACGAUCAGUAGCCGGCUUGAGAGAGUGACCGGCCACAUUGGGACUGAGACACGGCCCAGACUCCUACGGGAGGCAGCAG
RNAcentral lists this ribosomal RNA (227 nucleotides) under uncultured bacterium. RNAcentral's name for it is "partial 16S ribosomal RNA". It matches the Rfam family "Bacterial small subunit ribosomal RNA", at positions 127 to 354 of the family's 1533-position model. The record is from RNAcentral.